This 253-nucleotide ribosomal RNA is filed under the name uncultured bacterium. RNAcentral's name for it is "partial 16S ribosomal RNA". It matches the Rfam family "Bacterial small subunit ribosomal RNA", at positions 524 to 776 of the family's 1533-position model. The record is from RNAcentral.
UACGGAGGGGGCUAGCGUUGUUCGGAAUUACUGGGCGUAAAGCGCGCGUAAGCGGCUUUGUAAGUUAGAGGUGAAAGCCCGGAGCUCAACUCCGGAAUUGCCUUUAAGACUGCAUCGCUAGAAUCAUGGAGAGGUUAGUGGAAUUCCGAGUGUAGAGGUGAAAUUCGUAGAUAUUCGGAAGAACACCAGUGGCGAAGGCGACUAACUGGACAUGUAUUGACGCUGAGGUGCGAAAGCGUGGGGAGCAAACAGG